Long non-coding RNA from Manihot esculenta (cassava), 600 nucleotides. RefSeq lists it as uncharacterized. The record is from RefSeq and is a predicted model, not a curated record. NCBI's taxonomy places the organism in Eukaryota, Viridiplantae, Streptophyta, Magnoliopsida, Malpighiales, Euphorbiaceae. The transcript is spliced from 2 exons.
UUAUCAUUGGCUUAAAUUACGAUAUUCUAAAUUAAAAUUUUAAUUAAUUUUAAUUGAAAUAAUUAAAAUAAAAUUAAAAUUUUAAUAAAUUAGGCUAAAUUUAUGCUAAAAUUCAGCCGUCAUCAUACGAUUCAAGUUUUUCCUUCUCCUACCAAACUCUGCCGAAACACUGACUUCAUCUUGUUCCUAAGAGUACCAAGUUACAGCCGACUUCAUCUUCCUCUUCACCGAUGUCAUCCUCUUCCACCGACGUUAUCUUCUUCCUUCACUUGAUUGCCCAAGGUUGAUCUUUCAAAUGAUUGUAUAGGACAAAGAUAAAAGGAUGGUGACUUCAACUUUAUAAGUGCAGAUAUCAAGAGGCAGCCCUAUAUAAUCGCAUUUACUUUUCUGCCUAUUGGAUCUGAAGAAUUCUGGAAAUGCUUUUUUUUGCGAGUUACUAUUGUUAUUAAAAAUGAUCUUAUUAUCUAAAUAUUUGAUUUUUUAUUAAUAUUGAUCUAGAUACUAGAUAUUUGAUUGUUAAUUAUAUUUUAAUUUAGAUAUUUACUUUUACGAUUACUACGAACUUCUUUUUAGUUAAUUCAAAUGAAAUUAUUGAUUUCA